Molecule: long non-coding RNA, 198 nt
Organism: Anarrhichthys ocellatus (wolf-eel)
Lineage: Eukaryota; Metazoa; Chordata; Actinopteri; Perciformes; Anarhichadidae
Exons: 2
Source: RefSeq, a predicted model, not a curated record
CUACGGGUGUGCUGAGAGAGACCACCCUGGUGUCUACGCCAAGGUCUGCCUCUUCAACGAGUGGCUGGAGAACACCAUGGCCAGCUACUAAGAGAUCCAAACAAGCAAAUUCAGUCAAGAAGCUCACAAUCAUUUGUUUCUGAUGUCCCAUCUGUUGUACUGAACAAUAUGGCUGAUAAAAAGUGUAAAGCAAAAAAA